GGGUUCCGCCCGGGGAGCCGCCGCUCUGGGCCGCAGCCCGGGCCCUGACUGCAUUUCCGCCGGCGCCCAAGCGAGGAAGGGCGGGUCCUGCAUCCGAGGCAUCCCCGAUCCAUCCAGCAUCUUCUCGCGCAGUCUUCUUCGACCCGCUGCCACAGUCCCGGCGCCCCAGGCCCUGCGCAGAUGAAGACCCUCCCUCGGACGGCUUUGCGGGCCCUGCCUCAGCCGGCGCCCCCUUCUCUCCUGCAGGACCCGGACCCGCACUGCAGGGGCUGAGUGCCCCCUGGUUGGCGUCUGAGUCUUGCCUCCCCGUAGGCUCAGUACCUGGCAUGUGUCCAAGGCUCAGCAGCUGUACCACAACCACCCAACAGGAGAGAAGGAAAGGAGAGGUGCACCCCGGGGAUGUGGUGAGGCCAUCCCGUCAUGGGGAAUCAGAAAAGGACUGCGUCUUAGCCAGCCAGCUGGGGGAAGAGGAGGCAGCACCGGGCAGAGGGGCCCUUGAGAGAUGUCACCAUCCUGUUAAGAAAGGGCUGGACCACAGCGCUGCAGAGAUGAGUCCACGGUGUGCAGAGGCCGUCGUGGAAGUUGUCGUGUCAGCAGCGCUGUAGACCGCAGUGUCCUUGAGGGGUGCUGCUUUGGAAGAAGCCUCGGGGGUCAGAACCACUCGCCCUCUCAAGGUGAGGACCUGGGUCCCAGCUCCCCCGGAGGGUCCUCCUCAUGGUAUUUAGGGGCUGACCGCGGACACUGGCGUAGCAGCGUGAAGCAGGAUGUUGUCGCAUGACCAUCGCCAAACCUUUCUCUUCUGUUGCCUCAGCACAGCGUGGAAGGACUCUGCCCUCUGUGUGAACAGGGCAGAGGGGAAGUUCUGGGGCUCCAGGGACUUGGGGUUCAGAGCUGGAGACCUUCUACUGGCUCCCAGCAGGUGCCUCAGAACACUGCUGACCAGGAAGACUGUCUCUUCCCAUCUGGACCAGGUCAUCCCGUGGCUUCUGUGUCUCCCAUUUGCUCCUAGUAUAACUUUUUAGAACCAGGAGUUCCUGUUGGAGUCUUGUGUGCCGUGCAUCUUAUCUUCUCACCCACUUAAAUAAAUCUCGAAACUGCC
This 1099-nucleotide long non-coding RNA is filed under the name Sus scrofa (pig). RNAcentral's name for it is "lncRNA (ENSSSCG00060064175.1)". The record is from RNAcentral. Lineage: Eukaryota; Metazoa; Chordata; Mammalia; Artiodactyla; Suidae.